CUUCUCGCGUUCUUCAUUUUUCUGCCGCCGCCUCUCUGCCCGGCAGCCGUCGCCUGAGUCGCACAGGGGCCGCCUCUCCUUCUCCCGCCCUGCGGUCGCUCCUUCCCCCGCCCAUCGGUCGCCGUUUCCUGAGUCGCACUGGGGCGGCCGCUCCGUCUCCCGCCCUGCGGGCGCCGCCGCAAGAUCUUGGACGGGCCCCAAGAUCUUCAACGGGGCAGCCGGCCAGCGCCGCCCGGCGGCCCUCUCUCUCCAUCGAAGGAUCUUCGGACGGCGGCCGAGAUCGGUUCCUCCGCGCGUCGUGGUUGAGAUCCCUCGCAUAGGAUAUCGGCAUGGCUGGCGAAGGCAUCUCGAUAGAUGAAUUUAUGGAGUACGACUCGAUGGUCAGGCAGACAUUUAAAAGUGAGAACGAAGCGUACAAGUUCUACUUAGGGUAUGCGAAGAACAAAGGGUUUGGUGUUAGAAAGGGCGAUCUGAAAUAUAAGGGAAACAAGGAAAAUGCAUACCGGAGGACGUUUGUGUGUUGCAAACAAGGAUAUCGUGACGUAAAGCACUUUGAUGAAACCGACAAGAAAAGGACGCCAAGGGCACUCUUUCGGUGUGGUUGUCCUGCUCUUUUGCAGGUUGAGCUUCAAGCAAGCACUGGAUUGUGGUUUGUAAAGAAUUUUGUUGACCAACAUAGCCAUCCAUUCAUAAAUCCUGAGUUGUCACCUUUCUUGUGGUCUCAUCGUGGCAUGACCGAUCCACAGAAGGCGGAUGUCAUUGAGUACUCGGUUGGUGGACUUCGCACACAUCAGAUAAUGGAUGUGAUGGAGAAGCAGGCUGGUGGUUUGGGCAAGGUUGGAUUUAUAUCUCGCGAUCUGUAUAACCAUGUCGCGUUGGAGAAGAAGAAAAAGAUAGAAGGUAGCGAUGCUCAAUUUAUGCUGAACUACAUGACAGCACAACAGAUGAAAGACCCAGAUUUUUUUACAGAUACACCACAGACAGUGAUGGGCAUCUGCAGAACAUAUUCUGGGCAGACGCCCAAUCUCGCUUGGACUAUGUUGAAUUUGGUGGUGUGGUGGUGUUUGACAGCACAUACCGGUCAAACAAAUAUAGGUUGCCGUUUGUUCCAUUUGUGGGACUGAACCAUCACCGCAGCACAGUCGUGUUUGGGGUUGGUCUUGUAUCCGACGAGUCGGCUAACUCAUAUGAGUGGCUGCUUCAGGUUUUUUUGGAGGCAAUGCACCAGAAGCAUCCCAUUUCAGCGAUCACAGACGGCUACGUUUCAAUGGCCAAAGCCAUAUCAUCAGUCUGGCCUAGCACAUAUCACCGUCUGUGCAGCUGGCAUAUCGAGCAGAAUAUGGUGCUUCACCUCCGAAAGGAAAAGCUUAAGGAAUUUAGGAAAUUUAUUUACUAUGCCAUGGAGGUUCAUGAGUUUGAGAGACGCUGGUUGGCUUAUAAGAAGAGAUUCAGAAUCACAAGGAAAAAGAAAGAUGCAUGGAUUCACAGGAUGUACGAGCUGAGAGAAAAGUGGUCUGUAGCAUAUAACAAGGGAAGGUAUUUCCUAGGGAUGUUGAGCAAUCAGAGGAGUGAGUCUCUAAACUCGAGGCUUCAUGUGCACCUGAAUAGGAGAAUGAAACUCGUUGAUCUCGUGCAACACGUUGAACACUGUGUGUCAGUUUUGCGUAGGAAUGAAGCAGCAUUGGACGACGUAGCUUCGCACACAAUCUCCUUCACUAGAUUGACUGCCGAUCCACUUGAGAUAAGUGCCUCAUCUAUUUAUACCCCUGUUAUGUUCAGUAAGGUAAAGGACGAGAUUGUCAACUUAUCAAGAUGGAAUGUUCUUGAGGUGGAAGAGGACACUGGUUUGGUUAGCUAUGGAGUUGCUCGCAAAGAGUCGGUGCACGUUAGGUUCCAUGUCACAUGUAUUUUUGAUGGAUCUAAGAUGGAAAGUGCAUAUUGUGGAUGUAGGAAGAUGGAAAGCGAGGAUUUUCCAUGUGCUCAUAUAUUUUGCGUUUUGAAGUAGAAUGGGAUAUGCACCAUCCCCGCAUGUUGUGUGAAGGCUAGAUGGACAAUGCAAGCCAAGCCUGCUUUCGGUUCUGUGAGGAGUGCCAAUACACAUGUAUGGUCAGAACAGAUGGAUAAGUACCAUGAACUGCGCAAUAUGGCUAGUGAGGCUUUAUUCACGGCCUCAGCUAGUGAAAUGCAGUCAGAAAAGGUGAUGGAGUACCUGAGGAGCAUAUUGGACGAGGGCAACAAAAAUGAUGGGAAUACUGGCACGCCAUCAUUUGUUCCUAUGCCGGCUUAUUUUUCUGGGGCGCGGCAAUGGUUUACAGAUCAAGUCCAAGACCCUAAACCAAUAAUAAAUCCCAAAGGCAGACCAGCCAAAGAAUCGAAUAAGAGGUUGAAGCCAUUCCUGGAGAAUUUGCAAGCAAAAAAGAAAACAUUGAAGAAAGUUCAUGGUCAGUUGAGUAGGGGAGGAAGAAAAAAGUGAACAAUACUGUAGAAGAAGCAGGAGAAGAAGAAGGAGGAGAAGAAGAAGAAGAAGAAGAAGAAGAAGAGGCGGCAGAAGAAGAGGAUCGUGCUAAGAAGAGGAAACCGGUGAAGAAAGCUUCAGCAAAGGUGACUGAAGUUAGUAUGAUGACUCGGGGGAGAAAGAGAAAAGAGAACAAUGACGAAGUGUGUGCUAAGAACAAAAGACCUUUCAAGUCGACCAUCGUCAACAUCCUGAAGAGAGAUGGCACAGUCCCGAAUUGUACCUUGGAUGUUUUAAGCGGCAAAUCAGGCACUAAAUGGGGAGAUAACUACCUUAAACAUGACAUGAUUUUCCUACCUUCAAAUAUUCCCAAGAACCACUGGUUCCUAGCUGUUGUCAACUCCCAAAAGAGGGAGAUUCAAAUUCUGGACUCACUCCAAUCACGCAACAACCGGAAAGAAGUAAUUGCUGCGCUUCUUGGAAUGGAAACACAUAUUGAUAUAGCAGUGAUGGAAAAUGGAAUGCAAGGAAGUAGAUGGCCGGACACUCAAGUGGCUUCGUGGCCUAUCAAAGACUAUGAAGUGCCACAGCAAACAGAUGGCUGUUCCUGUGCUCUCUGGGUGUUGAAAUUCAUCCAAUAUUGGACCGGAGUGAGAUUGUCGGCAAUAUUCAACCAGGAUGACAUAAGACAGUUCAGAAGAUGGCUUGCUGCUGCCUUGAUCAAUUCACCUCACAAUGAGUUGAAAGUUCGGAAGGCCAUACCAGCAGUUGAUUUACAAGAUGAUUUAGAAGAUCUCGACCUCGGAGGUGACGACGGACACAACGACAGCGGAGAUGUCUCAGGAGACGAUGGUUCCGCACUAUAGUUGUGUGCUGCUGGACUUAGGGUAGAGUUAAUAGGAUUGGGCGUGGUGUGGUUUUUGCCCCGUAGACGGUUUCCACACCGUUUUCAAUUUUAUUACUUUAUCUAUACAGCAGAGAUGUAUCAAACAAUUUUUUUGGUUGUGCUAUUUCAUAUAUACGGCAAAUUGCCGUACAUUACUAUUUUUAUCUGCAUUGAAUAUCUA
Molecule: ribosomal RNA, 3522 nt
Filed under: Triticum aestivum (bread wheat)
Lineage: Eukaryota; Viridiplantae; Streptophyta; Magnoliopsida; Poales; Poaceae
Description: partial small subunit ribosomal RNA
Source: RNAcentral